GCCCUGUGAGGGAGCUGUGGAGGGGGUGGGAGUGAGAAUGCAGGCAUGAGUAGCGAAAGCAGAGUGAGAAACUCUGCCGCCGAUUGACCAAGGGUUCCUGGGCCAGGUUAUUCCGCCCAGGGUGAGCCGGGACCUAAGGCGAGGCCGACAGGCGUAGUCGAUGGAUAACGGGUUGAUAUUCCCGUGCCCGUGCUGGCGCGACAAUGGUGAGUCCAGUGAUACUAACCACCUCGGCUCUGUGCGCUGCUUUCGGGUGGUGUGUGGGGUUGGGCUGGGGCCUGAUCUGGUAGUAGCCAAGCGAUGGGGUGACGCAGGAGGGUAGCUCCGCCAGUGAGUGGUUGUACUGGUGUAAGCCUGUAGCCUGGCAUCUAGGUAAAUCCGGGUGCCGUGAAGGGUGAGAGGUGACGCGUAGCCGAUUGAGGCGAAGUAGAGUGAUCCCGUGCUGCCGAGAAAAGCCUCUAGCGAGUUCUUGCACGGCCCGUACCCUAAACCGACACAGGUGGUCAGGUAGAGAAUACCGAGGCGAUCGAGCGAACUGUGGUUAAGGAACUCGGCAAAAUGCCCCCGUAACUUCGGGAGAAGGGGGACCGGUUGCCUUGAAGCCCCUUGCGGGCUAGGGGUGGCCGGUCGCAGAGACCAGGCCCAAGCGACUGUUUACUAAAAACACAGGUCCGUGCGAAGUCGUAAGACGAUGUAUACGGACUGACGCCUGCCCGGUGCUGGAACGUUAAGAGGACCCGUUAGUCGUAAGGCGAAGCGGAGAAUUUAAGCGCCAGUAAACGGCGGUGGUAACUAUAACCAUCCUAAGGUAGCGAAAUUCCUUGUCGGGUAAGUUCCGACCUGCACGAAUGGCGUAACGACUUGGGCGCUGUCUCAACCACAGACUCGGCGAAAUUGCACUACGAGUAAAGAUGCUCGUUACGCGCGGCAGGACGGAAAGACCCCGGGACCUUUACUAUAGCUUGGUAUUGGUGCUCGGUUCGGAUUGUGUAGGAUAGGUGGGAGACUGUGAAGCUGUCACGCUAGUGGUGGUGGAGUCGUUGUUGAAAUACCACUCUGUUCGGAUUGGGUGUCUAACCUCGGACCGUGAUCCGGUUCAGGGACAGUGCCUGGUGGGUAGUUUAACUGGGGCGGUUGCCUCCCAAAGAGUAACGGAGGCGCCCAAAGGUUCCCUCAGCCUGGUUGGCAAUCAGGUGGCGAGUGUAAGUGCACAAGGGGGCUUGACUGUGAGACUGACGGGUCGAGCAGGGACGAAAGUCGGGACUAGUGAUCCGGCACCUCCUGGUGGAAGGGGUGUCGCUCAACGGAUAAAAGGUACCCCGGGGAUAACAGGCUGAUCUUGCCCAAGAGUCCAUAUCGACGGCAUGGUUUGGCACCUCGAUGUCGGCUCGUCGCAUCCUGGGGCUGGAGUAGGUCCCAAGGGUUGGGCUGUUCGCCCAUUAAAGCGGCACGCGAGCUGGGUUUAGAACGUCGUGAGACAGUUCGGUCCCUAUCCGCCGCGCGCGUUGGAGACUUGAGGAAGGCUGUCCCUAGUACGAGAGGACCGGGACGGACGGACCUCUGGUGUGCCAGUUGUCCCGCCAGGGGCAUGGCUGGUUGGCUACGUUCGGGAGGGAUAACCGCUGAAGGCAUCUAAGCGGGAAGCCUGUUCCAAGAUGAGGUCU
This 1664-nucleotide ribosomal RNA is filed under the name Actinospineispora acaciae DSM 45401. RNAcentral's name for it is "bacterial LSU rRNA". It matches the Rfam family "Bacterial large subunit ribosomal RNA", at positions 1258 to 2812 of the family's 2925-position model. The record is from RNAcentral. Lineage: Bacteria; Bacillati; Actinomycetota; Actinomycetes; Pseudonocardiales; Pseudonocardiaceae.